RNAcentral lists this transfer RNA (77 nucleotides) under Candidatus Vogelbacteria bacterium. Its description in RNAcentral is "tRNA-Val". It matches the Rfam family "tRNA". From Rfam's summary of the family: Transfer RNA (tRNA) molecules are approximately 80 nucleotides in length. Their secondary structure includes four short double-helical elements and three loops (D, anti-codon, and T loops). Further hydrogen bonds mediate the characteristic L-shaped molecular structure. tRNAs have two regions of fundamental functional importance: the anti-codon, which is responsible for specific mRNA codon recognition, and the 3' end, to which the tRNAs corresponding amino acid is attached (by aminoacyl-tRNA synthetases). tRNAs cope with the degeneracy of the genetic code in two manners: having more than one tRNA (with a specific anti-codon) for a particular amino acid; and 'wobble' base-pairing, i.e. permitting non-standard base-pairing at the 3rd anti-codon position. The record is from RNAcentral. Lineage: Bacteria; Candidatus Vogeliibacteriota.
GGGCGAUUAGCUCAGUUGGUUAGAGCGUUACAUUGACAUUGUAAAGGUCACAGGUUCGAGUCCUGUAUCGCCCACCA